GAUGAAGAACGUAGUGAAAUGCGAUAAGUAGUGUGAAUUGUAGAAUUCAGUGAAUCAUCGAAUCUUUGAACGCACAUUGCGCCCUUUGGUAUUCCAAAGGGCAUGCCUGUUCGAGCGUCAUUUGUACCCUCAAGCUUUGCUUGGUGUUGGGCGUCUUGUCUCUAGCUUUGCUGGAGACUCGCCUUAAAGUAAUUGGCAGCCGGCCUACUGGUUUCGGAGCGCAGCACAAGUCGCACUCUCUAUCAGCAAAGGUCUAGCAUCCAUUAAGCCUUUUUUUCAACUUUUGACCUCGGAUCAGGUAGGGAUACCCGCUGAACUUAAGCAUAUCAAUAAGCGGAGGA
This 341-nucleotide unclassified non-coding RNA is filed under the name soil metagenome. RNAcentral's name for it is "partial contains 5.8S ribosomal RNA, internal transcribed spacer 2, and large subunit ribosomal RNA". The stretch from base 1 to 120 matches the Rfam family "5.8S ribosomal RNA", at positions 35 to 154 of the family's 154-position model. The record is from RNAcentral.